This 3035-nucleotide ribosomal RNA is filed under the name Salmonella enterica subsp. enterica. Its description in RNAcentral is "bacterial LSU rRNA". It matches the Rfam family "Bacterial large subunit ribosomal RNA". The record is from RNAcentral. Lineage: Bacteria; Pseudomonadati; Pseudomonadota; Gammaproteobacteria; Enterobacterales; Enterobacteriaceae. RNAcentral also lists the same sequence under 1 other name.
GGGUUGUGAGGUUAAGCGACCAAGCGUACACGGUGGAUGCCCUGGCAGUCAGAGGCGAUGAAGGACGUGCUAAUCUGCGAAAAGCGCCGGUAAGGUGAUAUGAACCGUUAUAACCGGCGAUGUCCGAAUGGGGAAACCCAGUGUGACUCGUCACACUAUCAUUAACUGAAUCCAUAGGUUAAUGAGGCGAACCGGGGGAACUGAAACAUCUAAGUACCCCGAGGAAAAGAAAUCAACCGAGAUUCCCCCAGUAGCGGCGAGCGAACGGGGAGCAGCCCAGAGCCUGAAUCAGCAUAUGUGUUAGUGGAAGCGUCUGGAAAGGCGCGCGAUACAGGGUGACAGCCCCGUACACAAAAGCGCAUGUGCUGUGAGCUCGAUGAGUAGGGCGGGACACGUGGUAUCCUGUCUGAAUAUGGGGGGACCAUCCUCCAAGGCUAAAUACUCCUGACUGACCGAUAGUGAACCAGUACCGUGAGGGAAAGGCGAAAAGAACCCCGGCGAGGGGAGUGAAACAGAACCUGAAACCGUGUACGUACAAGCAGUGGGAGCCCCACCACCAAAGCGUUUCGCUUUGCGUGGUGCGCAAAAUGCGUAACGACAGCACGAUUGCGGUUAACGGAGCGUAAGCGACGUUCAACACAAGAAUCAGGCAGUGGAGCGUUUUGGGGUGGGGUGACUGCGUACCUUUUGUAUAAUGGGUCAGCGACUUAUAUUCUGUAGCAAGGUUAACCGUAUAGGGGAGCCGGAGGGAAACCGAGUCUUAACCGGGCGUUAAGUUGCAGGGUAUAGACCCGAAACCCGGUGAUCUAGCCAUGGGCAGGUUGAAGGUUGGGUAACACUAACUGGAGGACCGAACCGACUAAUGUUGAAAAAUUAGCGGAUGACCUGUGGCUGGGGGUGAAAGGCCAAUCAAACCGGGAGAUAGCUGGUUCUCCCCGAAAGCUAUUUAGGUAGCGCCUCGUGAAUUCAUCUCCGGGGGUAGAGCACUGUUUCGGCCAGGGGGCCAUCCCGGCUUACCAACCCGAUGCAAACUGCGAAUACCGGAGAAUGUUAUCACGGGAGACACACGGCGGGUGCUAACGUCCGUCGUGAAGAGGGAAACAACCCAGACCGCCAGCUAAGGUCCCAAAGUCAUGGUUAAGUGGGAAACGAUGUGGGAAGGCCCAGACAGCCAGGAUGUUGGCUUAGAAGCAGCCAUCAUUUAAAGAAAGCGUAAUAGCUCACUGGUCGAGUCGGCCUGCGCGGAAGAUGUAACGGGGCUAAACCAUGCACCGAAGCUGCGGCAGCGACACUGUGUGUUGUUGGGUAGGGGAGCGUUCUGUAAGCCUGCGAAGGUGUGCUGUGAGGCAUGCUGGAGGUAUCAGAAGUGCGAAUGCUGACAUAAGUAACGAUAAUGCGGGUGAAAAACCCGCACGCCGGAAGACCAAGGGUUCCUGUCCAACGUUAAUCGGGGCAGGGUGAGUCGACCCCUAAGGCGAGGCCGAAAGGCGUAGUCGAUGGGAAACAGGUUAAUAUUCCUGUACCUGGUGUUACUGCGAAGGGGGGACGGAGAAGGCUAUGUUGGCCGGGCGACGGUUGUCCCGGUUUAAGCGUGUAGGCUGGUUUUCCAGGCAAAUCCGGAAAAUCAAGGCUGAGGCGUGAUGACGAGGCACUACGGUGCUGAAGCAACAAAUGCCCUGCUUCCAGGAAAAGCCUCUAAGCCUCAGGUAACAUCAGAUCGUACCCGAAACCGACACAGGUGGUCAGGUAGAGAAUACCAAGGCGCUUGAGAGAACCCGGGUGAAGGAACUAGGCAAAAUGGUGCCGUAACUUCGGGAGAAGGCACGCUGACACGUAGGUGAAGCGGUUUACCCGUGAAGCUGAAGUCAGUCGAAGAUACCAGCUGGCUGCAACUGUUUAUUAAAAACACAGCACUGUGCAAACACGAAAGUGGACGUAUACGGUGUGACGCCUGCCCGGUGCCGGAAGGUUAAUUGAUGGGGUCAGCGCAAGCGAAGCUCCUGAUCGAAGCCCCGGUAAACGGCGGCCGUAACUAUAACGGUCCUAAGGUAGCGAAAUUCCUUGUCGGGUAAGUUCCGACCUGCACGAAUGGCGUAAUGAUGGCCAGGCUGUCUCCACCCGGGACUCAGUGAAAUUGAACUCGCUGUGAAGAUGCAGUGUACCCGCGGCAAGACGGAAAGACCCCGUGAACCUUUACUAUAGCUUGACACUGAACACUGGUCCUUGAUGUGCAGGAUAGGUGGGAGGCUUUGAAGUGUGGACGCCAGUCUGCAUGGAGCCGUCCUUGAAAUACCACCCUUUAAUGGCUGGUGUUCUAACGUAGACCCGUGAACCGGGUUGCGGACAGUGUCUGGUGGGUAGUUUGACUGGGGCGGUCUCCUCCUAAAGCGUAACGGAGGAGCACGAAGGUUGGCUAAUCCUGGUCGGACAUCAGGAGGUUAGUGCAAUGGCAUAAGCCAGCUUGACUGCGAGCGUGACGGCGCGAGCAGGUGCGAAAGCAGGUCAUAGUGAUCCGGUGGUUCUGAAUGGAAGGGCCAUCGCUCAACGGAUAAAAGGUACUCCGGGGAUAACAGGCUGAUACCGCCCAAGAGUUCAUAUCGACGGCGGUGUUUGGCACCUCGAUGUCGGCUCAUCACAUCCUGGGGCUGAAGUAGGUCCCAAGGGUAUGGCUGUUCGCCAUUUAAAGUGGUACGCGAGCUGGGUUUAGAACGUCGUGAGACAGUUCGGUCCCUAUCUGCCGUGGGCGCUGGAGAACUGAGGGGGGCUGCUCCUAGUACGAGAGGACCGGAGUGGACGCAUCACUGGUGUUCGGGUUGUCAUGCCAAUGGCACUGCCCGGUAGCUAAAUGCGGAAGAGAUAAGUGCUGAAAGCAUCUAAGCACGAAACUUGCCCCGAGAUGAGUUCUCCCUGAGACUACAAGUCUCCUGAAGGAACGUUGAAGACGACGACGUUGAUAGGCCGGGUGUGUAAGCGCAGCGAUGCGUUGAGCUAACCGGUACUAAUGAACCGUGAGGCUUAACCUUACAACGCCGAAG